This 394-nucleotide long non-coding RNA is filed under the name Setaria italica (foxtail millet). RNAcentral describes it as "long non-coding RNA (SITA_LNC006387)". Lineage: Eukaryota; Viridiplantae; Streptophyta; Magnoliopsida; Poales; Poaceae. The record is from RNAcentral.
UGGAAGAAAGUGUCCUCUUAGCCCUCUCACAUGAAGUCCUAAGCCUUCUCAAAGCCCUGGGGUUCCCAGUGAUAUCCUUCUUGUUUUUCCGCUUAAACUCUUGGACAAAGUGGUUCACCAAGCGGUUGUCAAAGUCCUCCCCACCAAGGUGAGUGUCACCAGCUGUGGCCUUCACCUCAAAUAUACCCUCCUCAAUAGUGAGGAGAGAAACAUCAAAAGUGCCACCACCAAGGUCAAAAAUAAGGACAUUCUUCUCACCAACACUAGUAGCUUUCUUGUCAAGACCAUAGGCAAUUGCAGCAGCAGUUGGCUCAUUGAUGAUACGCAUGACAUUGAGCCCGGCAAUAACACCAGCAUCCUUAGUUGCCUGCCUCUGGGAAUCAUUAAAGUAAGC